AGUGAACGCUGGCGGUAGGCCUAACACAUGCAAGUCGAACGGCAGCACAGUAAGAGCUUGCUCUUACGGGUGGCGAGUGGCGGACGGGUGAGGAAUACAUCGGAAUCUACUUUUUCGUGGGGGAUAACGUAGGGAAACUUACGCUAAUACCGCAUACGACCUACGGGUGAAAGCAGUGGAUCUUCGGACCUUGCGCGAUUGAAUGAGCCGAUGUCGGAUUAGCUAGUUGGCGGGGUAAAGGCCCACCAAGGCGACGAUCCGUAGCUGGUCUGAGAGGAUGAUCAGCCACACUGGAACUGAGACACGGUCCAGACUCCUACGGGAGGCAGCAGUGGGGAAUAUUGGACAAUGGGCGCAAGCCUGAUCCAGCCAUACCGCGUGGGUGAAGAAGGCCUUCGGGUUGUAAAGACCUUUUGUUGGGAAAGAAAAGCAGCAGGUUAAUACCCCGCUGUUCUGACGGUACCCAAAGAAUAAGCACCGGCUAACUUCGUG
This 492-nucleotide ribosomal RNA is filed under the name uncultured bacterium. RNAcentral describes it as "partial 16S ribosomal RNA". It matches the Rfam family "Bacterial small subunit ribosomal RNA", at positions 29 to 507 of the family's 1533-position model. The record is from RNAcentral.